This 433-nucleotide ribosomal RNA is filed under the name uncultured bacterium. Its description in RNAcentral is "partial 16S ribosomal RNA". It matches the Rfam family "Bacterial small subunit ribosomal RNA", at positions 29 to 507 of the family's 1533-position model. The record is from RNAcentral.
AGCGAACGCUGGCGGCAGGCCUAACACAUGCAAGUCGAACGAACUCUUCGGAGUUAGUGGCGGACGGGUGAGUAACACGUGGGAACGUGCCUUUUGGUUCGGAAUAACUCAGGGAAACUUGUGCUAAUACCGAAUGUGCCCUUCGGGGGAAAGAUUUAUCGCCAUUAGGGCGGCCCGCGUCUGAUUAGCUAGUUGGUGAGGUAACGGCUCACCAAGGCGACGAUCCGUAGCUGGUCUGAGAGGAUGACCAGCCACACUGGGACUGAGACACGGCCCAGACUCCUACGGGAGGCAGCAGUGGGGAAUCUUGCGCAAUGGGCGAAAGCCUGACGCAGCCAUGCCGCGUGAAUGAUGAAGGUCUUAGGAUUGUAAAAUUCUUUCACCGGGGACGAUAAUGACGGUACCCGGAGAAGAAGCCCCGGCUAACUUCGUG